This 429-nucleotide ribosomal RNA is filed under the name Bacteroidota bacterium. RNAcentral's name for it is "Bacteroidetes bacterium partial 16S ribosomal RNA". It matches the Rfam family "Bacterial small subunit ribosomal RNA", at positions 355 to 776 of the family's 1533-position model. Lineage: Bacteria; Pseudomonadati; Bacteroidota. The record is from RNAcentral.
UAGGGAAUCUUCCGCAAUGGACGCAAGUCUGACGGAGCAACGCCGCGUGAGUGAAGAAGGAUUUCGGUUCGUAAAACUCUGUUGUUAGAGAAGAACAGCGCAUAGAGUAACUGUUAUGCGUGUGACGGUAUCUAACCAGAAAGCCACGGCUAACUACGUGCCAGCAGCCGCGGUAAUACGUAUGUGGCAAGCGUUGUCCGGAUUUAUUGGGCGUAAAGCGAGCGCAGGCGGUCAAUUAAGUCUGAUGUGAAAGCCCCCGGCUCAACCGGGGAGGGUCAUUGGAAACUGGUUGACUUGAGUGCAGAAGAGGAGAGUGGAAUUCCAUGUGUAGAGGUGAAAUGCGUAGAUAUAUGGAGGAACACCAGUGGCGAAGGCGACUCUCUGGUCUGUAACUGACGCUGAGGCUCGAAAGCGUGGGUAGCAAACAGG